UACGUAGGGGGCAAGCGUUGUCCGGAUUUAUUGGGCGUAAAGAGCGUGUAGGCGGUCAGGUAGGUCCGUUGUGAAAACUCGAGGCUCAACCUCGAGACGCCGAUGGAAACCAUCUGACUAGAGUCCGGAAGAGGAGAGUGGAAUUCCUGGUGUAGCGGUGAAAUGCGCAGAUAUCAGGAAGAACACCCGUGGCUAAGGCGGCUCUCUAGUACGGUACUGACGCUGAGACGCGAUAGCGUGGGGAGCGAACAGG
This 253-nucleotide ribosomal RNA is filed under the name uncultured bacterium. RNAcentral's name for it is "partial 16S ribosomal RNA". It matches the Rfam family "Bacterial small subunit ribosomal RNA", at positions 524 to 776 of the family's 1533-position model. The record is from RNAcentral.